RNAcentral lists this long non-coding RNA (2079 nucleotides) under Junco hyemalis (dark-eyed junco). RNAcentral describes it as "lncRNA (ENSJHYG00000012795.1)". Lineage: Eukaryota; Metazoa; Chordata; Aves; Passeriformes; Passerellidae. The record is from RNAcentral.
CAGAGAUGCAGCUUCUGGGUCUGGCCUGUCUUACCAUCAAAACCCUUAUGGCCGUCAGAAACAUCUCCAGGAGUAGAGCACCUUUUGCUGAGGUGAACCUGAAUGUUGUCGGACAGCUGCAGAUCUCCCAGGUAACAUUUCCUCAAGUGGAGUUUUUAAGAAUGACUAAAAUUUGUUCUCCCCCAAGCAGGGUGUUUACUUUCUGUGUCCAGUGUUCUCCAGAUAAUGUGCAGUACAGCACUUACCUUUAGAAUCAAGAAACUUCCUUGAGCAUUGCUUUAACCCGUGGGCUUUAUUGAUUUGAGAUGCAAAAAAACAUUGUAUGGCAAAACUUUGGUUAUUAUAACCAGAUCUAAACAAGAAAGACUAACAUCAGUUUUGACAACAAACAAAACCAGUUUUUGUUCUAUCGGUUCUGUUUAAGAGAUUCCAAUUUCAAACCAAACACAACUUGUGGUUAUUCUGUCAGAUAUUUAUACAGCCACUGGGGCGCCAUAGUUAUGCACCGCAUACAUCAUUGUAUUUUUAAAAUGUACUUAAUGAACAUUUUUUCUUUUCUGGUAACUACUUCAUUGCCUUAAAUGAAUGCAUUCCAAUAGAAUUUGUAACAAAUGAGCACUUUGUGUUUGCAUUAAUGCCAAACACGUUUAACAAAUUUUUAACAAGGAACACUGGCAAAAAGCCAAACUCCUAGAGGGACACUGAAGGAAUGCUAUAAAUUUAAACUAGAUUUUACCUUUUCACUCUGCUCAACAAGUGUCUUAGGUGUCUUUGGCAUCUCAGCAUUGAAAAUUUUCUACGUAGGUUGGAUACAAAUUUAUGCUUUAAUUAUUUUUCUUCUUGGCCCUCCUCACUAGAGAUUUCCAUGUCGAUAUAACAGGCUUUAACAGGUUACUGUAUUCUUUAGAGAGUGAGAGGUGGGUUUUCUUUCUUUCCUCAAGAGUUAGGCCAGGAGGAAGUAGCAAAGCCAGCAUUUAUUGUUGGGCUGUGAUGACAGGGAGGUUCAAACAGCACAUGUCGUGCCAUUGUCACAUCUGUGUUAAGGGACCUCUGCAGUGGGAGCCCUGCAGCAGAUCUGCGCUACCCAAUUUUGCUGCUUGUGCUGAGUCGCAAAUAUCUGGGCUGUGAUCGUGUUUGCAACUGCACUUGAGGGGCAGGGGAAACAGCCCACAGGGCUCCCCCUGGCCCCAGCUCUGAGCUCACACAGAAGCCACGAACAGAUUUUUGGCUGAAUCAAACUUCUGGGGGGUUUUUCAGUUGUUAAGUUAUGCCCACAUGGUACAUGUCAGUACAGACCUUGGGAAUCACCUACUCUGUAAUACAUGUUCGUAUUAAAAGUGUUACAAGUAGCUCCACAAACCACAUGCUUGCUCUUUACUUGUAACUUAAUAUAUUAAUUUAAUUUUUACUGUGUUAUUUCAGUUUUAAUCAAAUGCAGGAACUGAAAAAUAAUAAUACUUAGCACUCAUCCAAGACUUUUUAGGCACAUUACAAACAUUAAGCCUUGCAAAUUCCUGUGAGGAGCCUGAUGUAUGCCUGCUGUAGCAAAGAGCAAAUUAAGCACAGAAAAAUGAUAUGACUUUUUCCUUAGUUCCACAAUAGACUGGCAGCAGGGGCAGAAUUUAGAGUGUCAGGGUUUUUUCUUAGUUAAUAGAGUCAUUCUUUUCAUGGUUUUACACAAAGGUAAAAAUUGAGAAUGCUUUUUUUUUUCCUCCCUCCUAUAAUUUACAUGAUGUUGUUGCAAGAGGCAUAGGCAAAUUCCAGAACAUCACUUGAGAAGACUUGAUGAGUUAUAGCCUUAUUCCAGCCUAGUUACUUGUUUCCAGAAAAUGAAAUAAUUUCCCAUCAUUUGUUGGUGCUCUGAUUGCAGUAAUGAUGAAUGAGUCUGGAGAAGGAAACUGAGGAAUUCAUCCUGACAGCUUUUUCAAGGAUGUCACAUUAUAGUGCAGAGGCCUUGUUGUAGAUUAGGGAACAGAAGUAGCCCUCACAGGUUUUCAUUAAUGAUAUCCUUCCCUACUAACAUUUGGUCAGAUACCAGUUCCCUGCAAUAAAGUGUCUACUCCCUCUCUUUCUUACUCA